This 440-nucleotide ribosomal RNA is filed under the name uncultured bacterium. Its description in RNAcentral is "partial 16S ribosomal RNA". It matches the Rfam family "Bacterial small subunit ribosomal RNA", at positions 338 to 795 of the family's 1533-position model. The record is from RNAcentral.
CCUACGGGGGGCAGCAGUGGGGGAUAUUGCACAAUGGGGGAAACCCUGAUGCAGCGACGCCGCGUGUGGGAAGACGGUCCUCUGGAUUGUAAACCACUGUCCCCAGGGACGAAGAUGACGGUACCGGGGGAGGAAGCGCCGGCUAACUACGUGCCAGCAGCCGCGGUAAUACGUAGGGAGCGAGCGUUGUCCGGAAGUACUGGGUGUAAAGGGAGCGGAGGCGGGACUGCAAGUUGGGUGUCAAAUCUACCGGCGCAACCGGUAGCCGCACUCCAAACUGCAGUUCUUGAGUGAAGUAGAGGCAGGCGGAAUUCCUAGUGUAGCGGUGACCUGCGUAGAUAUUAGGCGGCACACCAGUGGCGACGGCGGCCUGCUGGGCUUUUCCUGACGCUGCGGCUCGACCGUGUGGGGAGCAAACAGGAUUCGCUACCCGUGUAGUC